This 435-nucleotide ribosomal RNA is filed under the name uncultured bacterium. Its description in RNAcentral is "partial 16S ribosomal RNA". It matches the Rfam family "Bacterial small subunit ribosomal RNA", at positions 29 to 507 of the family's 1533-position model. The record is from RNAcentral.
AGCGAACGCUGGCGGCAGGCUUAACACAUGCAAGUCGAACGGGCUUCUUCGGACGUCCGUGGCAGACGGGUGAGUAACACGUGGGAACGUGCCCUUCGGUUCGGAAUAACUCAGGGAAACUUGAGCUAAUACCGGAUACGCCCUUUUGGGGAAAGGUUGACUGCCGAAGGAUCGGCCCGCGUCUGAUUAGCUUGUUGGUGGGGUAACGGCCUACCAAGGCGACGAUCAGUAGCUGGUCUGAGAGGAUGAUCAGCCACACUGGGACUGAGACACGGCCCAGACUCCUACGGGAGGCAGCAGUGGGGAAUAUUGGACAAUGGGCGCAAGCCUGAUCCAGCCAUGCCGCGUGAGUGAUGAAGGCCUUAGGGUUGUAAAGCUCUUUUGUCCGGGACGAUAAUGACGGUACCGGAAGAAUAAGCCCCGGCUAACUUCGUG